RNAcentral lists this ribosomal RNA (557 nucleotides) under uncultured Serratia sp. Its description in RNAcentral is "bacterial SSU rRNA". It matches the Rfam family "Bacterial small subunit ribosomal RNA", at positions 77 to 636 of the family's 1533-position model. The record is from RNAcentral. Lineage: Bacteria; Pseudomonadati; Pseudomonadota; Gammaproteobacteria; Enterobacterales; Yersiniaceae.
AGCUUGCUCCUGGGUGACGAGCGGCGGACGGGUGAGUAAUGUCUGGGAAACUGCCUGAUGGAGGGGGAUAACUACUGGAAACGGUAGCUAAUACCGCAUAACGUCUACGGACCAAAGUGGGGGACCUUCGGGCCUCAUGCCAUCAGAUGUGCCCAGAUGGGAUUAGCUAGUAGGUGGGGUAAUGGCUCACCUAGGCGACGAUCCCUAGCUGGUCUGAGAGGAUGACCAGCCACACUGGAACUGAGACACGGUCCAGACUCCUACGGGAGGCAGCAGUGGGGAAUAUUGCACAAUGGGCGCAAGCCUGAUGCAGCCAUGCCGCGUGUGUGAAGAAGGCCUUCGGGUUGUAAAGCACUUUCAGCGAGGAGGAAGGGGUGUUAAUAGCACCAUUGACGUUACUCGCAGAAGAAGCACCGGCUAACUCCGUGCCAGCAGCCGCGGUAAUACGGAGGGUGCAAGCGUUAAUCGGAAUUACUGGGCGUAAAGCGCACGCAGGCGGUUUGUUAAGUCAGAUGUGAAAUCCCCGCGCUUAACGUGGGAACUGCAUUUGAAACUGG